CAACUGGACUGAUAAUCCAGAAAACUCAACAACAUGAUCGUCGUCUUCUGCUUAAUGCUCAACAUGAUUCACGUUUUUGGCUCUUCUCUCAGCGAUCUGGUCCAUCAGACUCCAGCCGAGAUGGUCCAUGAGCCCGGAGGAAACGCCAUCAUCAGCUGCAGACACACCAUCGACAACUACGAUGUGAUCCUCUGGUACAAACACUCGACGGGCGGCCGGAUGCAGCUCCUGGGAUACAACAACGCUGCAAACGGAUACCCAGAGCCGGACGUUGAUGUGAAAAUCAGUGGCAGCGCAAGCAAAGACCAGAUCAGCACUCUGACAGUGGAAGACCUGAGCGUGAGCAGCAGCGCCGUUUAUUUCUGCGCCGCUAGAUACCACAGUGCUUCAUAUUAA
Poeciliopsis prolifica (blackstripe livebearer) is the source of this 396-nucleotide non-coding RNA. The record is from the annotation of a RefSeq genome assembly. Lineage: Eukaryota; Metazoa; Chordata; Actinopteri; Cyprinodontiformes; Poeciliidae.